UGCUGUCCCUCUGUCCCCAAG
This 21-nucleotide microRNA is filed under the name Gallus gallus (chicken). RNAcentral describes it as "gga-miR-12284-3p". The record is from miRBase by way of RNAcentral. Lineage: Eukaryota; Metazoa; Chordata; Aves; Galliformes; Phasianidae.